This 345-nucleotide ribosomal RNA is filed under the name uncultured bacterium TK24-03. Its description in RNAcentral is "bacterial SSU rRNA". It matches the Rfam family "Bacterial small subunit ribosomal RNA", at positions 542 to 885 of the family's 1533-position model. The record is from RNAcentral.
UGUUUCGGAUUAUUGGGCGUAAAGGGUCCGUAGGCGCCUCGCCGCAUCUUCUGUUAAAUCUUCAGAGCUUAACUUUGAAGCUGCAGAAGAGAUGAGCGAGGUUGAGGACGUUAGAGGUUAGCGGAACGGUCGGUGUAGGAGUGAAAUCCGUUGAUAUCGACCGGAACACCAAAAGCGAAGGCAGCUAACUGGGACGAACCUGACGCUGAGGGACGAAAGCGUGGGGAGUAAAAAGGAUUAGAUACCCUUGUAAUCCACGCCCUAAACGAUGGAUACUAGCUAUUUGUAGUGUCGACCCUACGAGUGGCGAAGCUAACGCGUUAGUAUCCCGGCUGGGAAGUACAG